GUCAGAGCCUGGCCCAGCCAGUCCAGCCUACUUAAAGAGCGUCCAGCGUCUUCAGCUAGUCAGACCAGUACAGUGGUCAACGAGCGUCUUCAGGAGCUGGUCCGGAUGUUUAAAGAGAGAACCGAGAAGGCUAAGGAGAAACUCAUUGACCCUGACAGCUCAGAUGAAGACAGCAUUAUCCCAUCUCCUCCUCAGGCUUCAGCUCCUCAGCCUGCUCCUGCAGCUCAGCCGGUGGACGAGGGAGAGGCACAAGCAGAAAGUGGAGCAGAGGAGGAGCAGUGUGGCCGCCGCAGCAAGGUGAAAACUCCUCGAUGGAUACAAGCCUGUAUGCACUACCGCUUCCCUGCCAGCAUCGACCCCUUCACCAACCUGAUGUACGUGCUGUGGAUGCUACUGGUCACUCUGGCAUGGAACUGGAACGUGUGGUUCAUCCCUGUGCGCUGGGCGUUUCCCUACCAGACUCCAGACAAUAUUUACUACUGGCUGCUGAUCGACUACCUGUGUGACCUUAUUUACAUUCUGGACAUCAGCAUCUUUCAGCCGCGGCUGCAGUUUAUCCGAGGAGGGGACAUAGUGUUUGACAAAAAAGAAAUGAGAAAGAACUACAUGAAAACCAAACGCUUCAAAUUUGAUGUAGCCAGCCUUAUUCCGCUGGAACUCUUCUAUUUUAAAACUGGCGUCAACCCUCUACUUCGCUUACCCAGACUACUGAAGAUCAACUCCUUUUUUGAGUUCAACGAGCGUCUCGAGGCCAUCUUAACCAAAGCCUACAUCUACAGGGUGAUACGUACGACCACCUACCUUCUUUACUGUCUCCACUGCAACGCCUGUCUGUACUACUGGGGCUCUGCCUUCAAUGGACUAGGAUCAACAAAAUGGGUGUAUGAUGGCAAGGGCAACAGUUACAUUCGCUGUUACUACUUUGCGGUGAAGACCCUCAUCACCAUUGGCGGUCUGCCGGACCCCACCACCCUGUUUGAGAUUGUCUUCCAACUUAUCAACUACUUUGUUGGAGUCUUCGCCUUCUCUAUCAUGAUUGGACAGAUGCGUGACGUGGUCGGUGCAGCCACAGCUGGUCAGACUUACUACCGCACAUGUAUGGACAACACGAUUAAAUACAUGUCCUCCUAUCGAAUCCCCAAAGACGUCCAAAACCGUGUCAAAACCUGGUACAACUAUACCUGGCAAUCACAAGGCAUGCUAGAUGAGCAGGAGUUACUGACUCAGUUGCCAGAUAAAAUGCGUCUGGACAUUGCUAUAGAUGUCAACUAUUCCAUCGUCAGCAAAGUCCCCCUUUUCCAGGGUUGUGACAGACAGAUGAUCUUUGACAUGCUGAAAAGCUUACGCUCCGUUGUUUACCUGCCUGGAGAUUAUGUCUGCAAAAAGGGUGAGGUGGGUCGGGAGAUGUACAUCAUAAAAGCAGGGGAGGUGCAGGUGGUUGGAGGGCCUGAUGGAAAGACAGUCUUUGUAACUCUCAGAGCAGGAUCAGUGUUUGGAGAGAUCAGUUUGCUUGCAGUAGGCGGGGUUAACAGGCGCACAGCAAACGUGAUCGCACACGGCUUUGCCAAUCUCUUCAUCCUGGACAAGAAAGACCUGAAUGAGAUCCUGGUCCACUAUCCCGAGUCCAAGAAACUGCUCCGCAAGAAGGCCAGAAAGAUGCUUGCUAAGGGAAAGAAACCUGAACCCAAAGCAGAGGCUAAGGAUCCACCUCAGGUCCCGCCAGCCCCUGUUAGGGCGGAGACCCCUAGACUGCUGAGAGCUGCCCUGGAGAUGACAGAGAGAUCGUCUGGACUUAAAGGAGCUCUGGCUAAAGUCAAAGAGAAGACCAACAAGUCCAGUAUCUCGUUACAGGUAAACAGAGUGAAAACUGAGCAGACCAAAAAAGAAACAGAUGCAUAUGUGGCAGUGGCAAAAUAAUCUCUCUUCUCUUCUCUUCUCUUCUCUUCUCUUCUCUUCCAGCCCUCCAUCUCCUCCACCCUGCCUCCUCCAUCUCCCACCUCCAGCUCAGGACCUGACAGAGACGCAGACACGCCGUCACCCAUGUCUGCCAGCUCUGCGAUGUAUCGCUCCGCUUCCCAUUGCCGCAACAACAACAACAACUCUGCCAGGCCUCACUCUCCCUCGCAGUGCCAUGGCGACGAAGACGAGAUUCUUGCCGUGAACCGAAGAGAGGAGGGUGCCAGUGAGGUUGAUGGAAGCAGAUGUGGGAAUAGGAAGGAGAAGACGUUGUGAUAAAUCUUUAAAGGAAAAGUAAAAACAUGACCAGUGUAUCUGCUGUAAAUUGACAGAAUGGUGGAGUGAAAGAGAGGGGCGGUUCUGUAAAUGAGCAUUUGAAAAUGUUUGGAACGGCUUCAAUGCAAAAAUAUCAAGGUAGUACUGUAUUACAAUCUGACCCAUGACACACUGUCUACAUCAUGCUGUGUAGUCGUUAUAUAAAAACCUGGUAUAUUUUGUCACUUUGGUCGAUGUUGCAUUAGCUGCUGUGGGAUGAGCUGUGUUUUGCAUUAGAACCUACACAUCUUGUGGGCGUCCCUGUCUGUCCCUGUAUUUCUCAAUAUGGAGUCGUAAGAACAAGUCCAGAUUCAUUCUGUUCAUUCUGUUCUCCAUUUGCUUUGCAGUGUUCUCUCAGCCUCCACCACUGUGUUCAUCUUUAUUAUUCUCAAUAUAAGAUAAUCUAAUGUAGGAGCAAGCCAUUCCCCACCUGGUUACCUCUUCAGAAUUCAUUUUUACAUCAUCUACACUGAGUUCACGUGACUGAAUUCAAUGUAGCUGUGAUGAUGACUGAAUGCUGCGUGGGAUGGCAUGGCUAAGCCAUUACAGUAAUUUAGCUGUUUAUAAUCAUUUCUACGAAACUGAACUUCUUGUCUUUCUAAAACAUACAAACAUGUUUUUGCUGUUGUUGUCUGCUAACUCUGUACGGAUUAUUUUGUAACAGUAAAACCACAAUUUGCCUUAUAAGUUUUGUCAUUUACCCAUGUCUUGUGUUGGUGUGAGUAGCUUGCAUUGCUGAUGUUUGAAACACAGUACAGACUUUGUGUUACAAAUAAAUGUUGACAGGUCAUCUGAGAUUACUUUAUA
RNAcentral lists this long non-coding RNA (3078 nucleotides) under Sparus aurata (gilthead seabream). RNAcentral's name for it is "lncRNA (ENSSAUG00010009520.1)". Lineage: Eukaryota; Metazoa; Chordata; Actinopteri; Spariformes; Sparidae. The record is from RNAcentral.